RNAcentral lists this ribosomal RNA (459 nucleotides) under uncultured bacterium. RNAcentral describes it as "partial 16S ribosomal RNA". It matches the Rfam family "Bacterial small subunit ribosomal RNA", at positions 338 to 795 of the family's 1533-position model. The record is from RNAcentral.
CCUACGGGUGGCAGCAGUGAGGAAUAUUGGUCAAUGGGCGGGAGCCUGAACCAGCCAAGCCGCGUGAGGGAAGAAGGUACAGCGUAUCGUAAACCUCUUUUGUCUGGGAACAAAGGCGGGGACUAGUCCCCGGAUGAGGGUACCUGAAGAAAAAGCAUCGGCUAACUCCGUGCCAGCGGCCGCGGUAAUACGGAGGAUGCGCGGGUUAUCCGGAUUUAUUGGGUUUAAAGGGUGCGCAGGCGGCUUGUUAUGUGUGAGGUAAACGCCCGGGGCUCAACCCCGGAGAGCAGUUGAAACUGGCGGGCUGGAGUUGGAGAGAAGUACGCGGAAUGCGCGGUGUAGCGGUGAAAUGCUUAGAUAUCGCGCAGAACCCCGAUUGCGAAGGCAGCGUACCGGCUCCACACUGACGCUGAGGCACGAAAGCGUGGGUAUCGAACAGGAUUAGAUACCCCUGUAGUC